GUUGUAUGGUUAAGUGACUAAGCGUACACGGUGGAUGCCUUGGCAGUUGGAGGCGAUGAAGGACGUAUUAACUUGCGAUAAGCCUAGUCAAGCUAGUAAAAAGCGCUUGAGACUAGGAUUUCCGAAUGGGGAAACCCACCUGCUUGCAGGUAUCUUACACUGAAUACAUAGGUGUAAGAGGCGAACGCGGAGAACUGAAACAUCUAAGUACCCGUAGGAACAGAAAUCAACCGAGAUUCCGGAAGUAGCGGCGAGCGAAACCGGACCAGCCCUUAAGCUUAUUAUGUGUUAGUGGAACAUUCUGGAAAGUUUGACGAUACAGGGUGAUAGUCCCGUACACGAAAAUGCAUCUUAAGUGAAAUCGAGUAGGUCGGAGCACGUGAAACUUUGACUGAAUAUAGGUGGACCAUCAUCUAAGGCUAAAUACUCCCAACUGACCGAUAGUGAACCAGUACCGUGAGGGAAAGGCGAAAAGAACCCCUGUGAGGGGAGUGAAAUAGAACCUGAAACCGUGUACGUACAAGCAGUAGGAGCCCUUCGAGGGUGACUGCGUACCUUUUGUAUAAUGGGUCAGCGACUUAUAUUUUGUAGCGAGGUUAACCGAUUAGGGUAGCCGUAGGGAAACCGAGUCUUAACUGGGCGUAUAGUUGCAAGGUAUAGACCCGAAACCCGGUGAUCUAGCCAUGGGCAGGUUGAAGGUUGAGUAACAUCAACUGGAGGACCGAACCCACUAACGUUGAAAAGUUAGGGGAUGACCUGUGGCUAGGAGUGAAAGGCUAAUCAAACCGGGAGAUAGCUGGUUCUCCCCGAAAUCUAUUUAGGUAGAGCCUCGGACGAAUACUUACGGGGGUAGAGCACUGUUAAGGCUAGGGGGUCAUCCCGACUUACCAACCCUUUGCAAACUCCGAAUACCGUAAAGUACUAUCCGGGAGACACACGGCGGGUGCUAACGUCCGUCGUGAAGAGGGAAACAACCCAGACCGCCAGCUAAGGUCCCAAAGUCAUAGUUAAGUGGGAAACGAUGUGGAAAGGCCCAGACAGCCAGGAGGUUGGCUUAGAAGCAGCCAUCCUUUAAAGAAAGCGUAAUAGCUCACUGGUCGAGUCGGUCUGCGCGGAAGAUGUAACGGGGCUAAACUAUGCACCGAAGCUGCGGAUUCAAACUUUGUUUGAGUGGUAGGGGAGCGUUCUGUAAGCCGUUGAAGGUGAACCGGGAGGUUUGCUGGAGGUAUCAGAAGUGCGAAUGCUGACAUGAGUAACGAUAAUGCGGGUGAAAAACCCGCACGCCGGAAGACCAAGGGUUCCUAUCCCAUGUUAAUCAGGGUAGGGUAAGUCGACCCCUAAGGCGAGGCCGAAAGGCGUAGUCGAUGGGAAACGGGUUAAUAUUCCCGUACUUGGUAUAAUUGCGAUGGGGGGACGGAGCAGGCUAAACAAGCAUGGCGUUGGUUGUCCAUGUGAAAGUGAGUAGGUUGGUGACUUAGGAAAAUCCGGGUUGCUAAGACUGAGACACGAGACGAGCCACUAAGGUGGUGAAGUUGUUGAUGCCAUACUUCCAGGA
RNAcentral lists this ribosomal RNA (1555 nucleotides) under Pseudoalteromonas sp. S1649. RNAcentral's name for it is "partial 23S ribosomal RNA". It matches the Rfam family "Bacterial large subunit ribosomal RNA", at positions 1 to 1613 of the family's 2925-position model. The record is from RNAcentral. Lineage: Bacteria; Pseudomonadati; Pseudomonadota; Gammaproteobacteria; Alteromonadales; Pseudoalteromonadaceae.